UAAGGAGGCGCCGGCAACGGUGUUAAGGGCGCACAGUCCGCAGUAAUCGACUGCAUUCUAUUGUUCCUUUCUCGUUUGAUUAAAGUAGCUGAUCUGAUGCGCGGUAUUAUUAUUCUUGGCGUCUUAAGAUUAUGAGGUAGUUAGCCAUAAAGUAUCAUUCAUCCUUUUGUUGGCCUAUUGCCUACUCUGUCGUGUACCAGCAGUAUUAUUUUGGAGCCGAGACCUUGAUAUUUCAGACUUGGUUGGGUGAAUUGGUCGUGUGUGUGCUGUUGCAUUUUCCAUGACGAAAUCAUCAUAUAGCAUUAUUAUUUAAUCUUUGUGCUGCUCAGCAACUUGAGGCCUUCCUAUUUGUAUCAGAUCUGUCAGUCAGGAUCGUUGUAUGACUGGAACGUGUUAAUGGAAUUUACUCUUGUUAAUGGCUCGAUGGCAUCUGGGCACCAAUAGUAAAGCGAAGACUUUGUGGAAACUGCCAGGCGCAGGACGCACCACCGUUCCUGGCUGUUGCUUCCGGGUCUUGCUCACCAGUCACCACGGCCGGUGCGGCAUUGCCGUUCGCAUAUCGUUGUUCCCGAAAUCCUUGAGUUGUACCGGCAAGCAGCUCAGUCCCGCGCAAGUGGGCACACGGAACAGUAACCACCACCUCCCUGCAGGAAGGUGUUGAACUAAGCAGCCCGAUUGAUUGAAGGAGUCUUGCUCUCGAUGACAUCUACUUAACGGCUAGUUGUUGAGGUGUAGUCCUCGUCUCUGAGCACGACAGCUGCCUCUUCCAAACUCGCGUGGCCGUGUGUAUCUUAUGUUGUAAAAUAAAACAACAACAACUAGAAGAAGAAAAUUAUCGUUUGGCCGGACUGCAUAUUAUGCUUCCUAUACAACUGGAGUUCUGAAUUGGCCUGGUGGCAUUUGGACGGUCGCUGUAUGGUUAUGUCUACUAUAGCGUUAUACCAAUGCAAGCCAUCCAUGUGUUGGUGGUCUCACCAGCUUGCAAAUAUCUAACUGGCUGCAGAAUUUCGCGCGGAUUUGUUAAUUCCGGAGAUCCUAACAACACCAUCAGCUUUAUUUCUUUUUUAGCUCCGCAUGGUGACGAUAUCUUUUGUUUAGAGAAAAAAUAAAACGUAGGCCUCCAUAAGAAAUCCACUAUUUAUAGUCGCGCGCACCACCUUCCCUCCCCAGCCUUGAGCCUUGUCUGGUGCUUGUAGAGAGGAGUAGAGCCAUGGAGUCUGACACGAUCCAUGCACCCGCCACCUCCUCUUCCUCCUCCUACUCAUCCGACUCGGCUGUCAUCAAUGGCGCACAGGACGUUUCCAAGGGUGAGCCCAAGCAUCUGAAGCGCAAGAGACAGACCGCCACCUCUCCUGCUGCUCCAGCCACCGGCAGCCAAGAGGCGGAGUCUGCCGACGGCGCCUCCCGGGGUGAGGAGAGCAGCAGCUGCGCCGCCGCCGCGGACGAGCGCACGGCCGGAAGGCACCCGUCGUACCGCGGCGUGCGGCGCCGGAGCUGGGGCAAGUGGGUGUCGGAGAUCCGAGAGCCGCGCAAGAAGUCGCGCAUCUGGCUCGGCACCUUCCCGACCGCGGAGAUGGCCGCGCGCGCGCACGACGUCGCCGCGGUCGCCAUCAAGGGCCACCGCGCGCACCUCAACUUCCCGCACCUCGCCGACGCGCUCCCACGCCCGGCGUCCACCUCCCCCGCCGACAUCCAGGCCGCGGCCGCCCUGGCCGCCGCCCAAUGCGAGCCUCCCUCCUCCGUCGCCGAGACCACGGAGACGCCGACGACGUCGACCGAGACAUCGGCCGCGAGCUCCGGUACGGCCGGCUGCGGCGAGGAGAACGCUCUGUUCGACCUGCCCGACCUUCUGCUGGACCUGAGGGACGGCCUCUGGUGCUCGCCUACCUGGGCGACGGCCGCCGACGAGUACGACGGCGGCGAGGCCGCGCUGCAUGAGCCGCUGCUGUGGGUGGAGCAGUGCUGGACCUAGCCGCUCCGUUGUGACGCGCGGGCCAUGCCUGGCCAGAAGAGAACACCCGUAGACAUGGGCAUGUACACUAGCGUUUCAUUUUUCCAAUUAAUUUGCGCUUUUGCUUCGCGCCAUGCCAGGCCUGUCAUCUUGGGGUGGCAAGUCGUUUUAGCUAGACAUUUCACCGUUUUGUUCACGGUGUGUACUGUAUCCCGAAAUGUGAAAUCCAAACCUCUCAAAAAAGAAAAGAAGUGAAGGAAAUACGAAAUACCCCCUCUAAACUUUUAUAGUGACCUAAAACAUCUUAUAAAAGUUUACAGAGGGAGCACAAUCUACUUCCUCGGUCUCGAAGUCUCAAACACUCGAUCAAUAAUAAUGUCCUUAUGUUCAAGAAAGGUAUAUUUCCACACUGUAAUCCUUCCUUUGGUUUUAACAACUGAACUACACAUUCGCCAGCACAAUCACCUAUCAAUUCGAGGUUACGAAAGCAGUGAAGCCCCCUCUCAUUGAGAGGGUUGGAUGUCGAGCAGUGGCCCUGGGUUGGUGAUGUUUUGUGUGACGAGGCGGCGGCCUUGGGAACCAUUGCAGGUAGCAACUCUAUGAGGCCGGCGGUGUCUUGACAAUGGCUUGCUUGACAAAUCAUUUGCUGCUAGUGCGGUGGGGUUCUCGGCUCGGUUGAUGCGCCUUGGAGGGGUGGUCAGACUAUAUGUUGAGAUGACCACCACGGAUGUGUUGGUGAGACGGUCAGGGUCUGUAGGGCGUCUUCCUUGGGGAAAUACCCAAUGGUUCCUGGGUACAUAUGUAUCUUAUAUGGAGAAUUUUUUUAAUGAUUAAACAAAAAGUCAAAAUAGUUAAGAAACUAUUUUUAGAGUAAACUUGACUUACUUGCGCACUAGUAUAUGAAUUUUCACAAAAAAAGAAACUACGUUGACUUCACAGCGAAAAAGACAAAAAAUAUUUGCUAUUAUAGGUCACUGUUCAUGCUUUUUUGACUGAAAAUUUGUCUUUUUUGAAAAGAAGUCAAAGAGGAAUUUUAUUUUGUUGGAACUUUUCUUACUAGUACAAUGGAAGGUCAAGUUUUUUUUCAAAAAUAUUUUUAGAAAUUUUUGACUUUUUAUUGAAUUACUAAUUUUUUUCUUCAUAUAGGGUACAUAUGUACCCAGGAACCAAACGUUCCCGUCCGUCUUCCUUGUGUAGCUUGCUGCAAGCAGUUGUGUUGUGCGUCGCUGCAACUCGGUGGCGAGCAGAGGUAUGCUGGGGCAAUGACCCUGGAAGGUGGUGUCGAAGAACUAUGCUCAAUGUUCCGAAGAGGUUAGGAGACUUAACAUGUAUGGUAUUGGCCUUGUGGAGUGUUUGCUUUGUCACCUCUGCACAAGAUUUCAAGUCUGCUCCUCCCAUUGCAGUCUCGUCUUCUUCUGUCUGGCCGCGGUGAGAGCUAGUUUCGAUGAAAUAGGUUUCCGUUCAUUGUGUUUAUGAGGUUGGUAUGCUUUUGUCGAUUUUAAUUCGGUGUCAACGAGGGUGAGGUUGACCAUAAAUGUAUAAAUUUUCACCCGAUUUUUACAAUUAACCGGGUAACCAAUUUUUUAAUUAAUGGAACAGACAAAGCUUUUGGUUUGGUUCAAUAAAAAUUAAUGGGAUAAUAAUAACCUCUUCAACUACAAGCAUGUGGCGUAUUAAGGAUACCGGUUAACAAAAAAAAAGUUGACAUGUAAAACAGUCGUUAAAUUUUACCUUGAUACUUGUAAUCUGAAUUUGUGGCCUUGUAUAAGAAAAUGGCACGUCUGUUUAGUACCCAUGUUGACUAGCUAUAUGGCAAGCAUGUGUCAUGUAGUAAAAGUGAAUGAAAAUUUCACCGGUAGGUAUGAUAUUUCAAAGUUUAGCACCAUGCUUUAUUAAUACAACAUAAUUAUUUCCUUAUUUACUUAUUUGUAUAAAGAGAAAAGUCCAUUUUAACAGUCAUCGCAUAACGCAAAAUGGAUUCAUAAUAAUUAGGACCAUCCUAAAAUUCUACCACAACACCAAACACAACUAUAUUCUGAUCACUCCCGACUUAGUUUCCCAUUCGAUAUCAUACUUUUCAUCGUAUUUAUGAUUUGACGCUCAAUAUUAUGGCCUCAGUACUCAAGAACAAAAGGCACGUGUUUACACCAAAAUCUUUCACUAAGUCUUACUUUUUUCUUCAAAAAGGAGGUUAAAACCUCCUGCCUUUGCAUCAAUGCGAUGCAUACAACCAUUUUUAUUAAUUAUUCAGCAGAGUACAAAACGAAGGCAAUCAUGGCUGAGCCAUUAGAAAAUAUGAAAUUAACACCUACGAUUAAGUCGAGUUCUUUCGUAGCAGCGCCUUCAAGAAGAUAUACACUCGUCGCUGCUGAGCCCGAUCAAUUAUGGUCAGGACAAGAGUUUUCACCCCGGAAAUGAAGCGGUGUUCCAAUCAGCAUCUUGAUGAUAGAUCAUUAGAUAGUCGCCUUCGUCAGGACUCCACGCCAGUGCCAAACGACACUAGCAGAUUGGUGGGAUGCCUUCCCACCUUAAACCACCGUCACGGCCGUCGGGUGGAUGCUCAUGUCUCAACGUGGAACUGGCCGCUGCUACUCCACACCGGCGCCAGUCACACUGCAACAUGCUCCAUACCGUUGGAGCCGCUUCUUCGGAGCUAGAAGUCGACGGGGAACCACCACUGUGCCCCUUGCUCACUAGCGUGUGUGACGCCCCGAGACCGAUAUGCCAGGCGUCUUCCAGUUAUUCGCUGUUGUUGUCUUGUCAUUCGCUUGCGUGUUGCAUCUUGUCAUGUCAUCAUGUGCAUUGCAUCAUCACGUUUUCAAAACUUGCAUCCGUUCCGGUCUCCUCGUUCUUUCCGUUGUUCGUUCUAAGCCCGACCAUACUUGCACGCGCCCACGGCUUGUCCGAAAUAGUAUUUUAUAAGUGGCCGGAAAAUGUUCUUGGAUUGGGUCGAAAGAUGGCGUGUGGUCUUAUUAUAGUGUAGAUAGACCACCUGUCAAGUUUCAUCGCAUUCGGAGUUCGUUUGAUAGCCUAACCGUUAAACUAUAGCGGCAUUAUAGCAGGUCUAACGUCGGACGUUUUCAGUCUUCAGAAACAGUCGCGGGCCUCUCUCUCUUCUCUUCUCUCAGCUCGAGCCCUUCUGCACAGCCCACAAGUUCCAACCAACCCCUCGCGUGCGUGUCCGAAACUUCCCCGGACCCGACCCGGACAGUUGUCACCGUUGGGUCCAGAUCAUCCCCAAACAUCUACAAAAUGUCUCCGUUUCUUAUUUAGAUUUUCCUAGCCUAUCUAUUCUCAACCGUCGGAUUUUGAUCGGAUGAUCCAACUCCCCCUUUUUUUCCAUAUAUAUAUAUAGGCCCUGUUUGGAUACUCUAACAUAGUUAGAGUUAGAGUUAUUUUCUAACCCACUCUAACCCAAAUAAGCAUCUCUCCACCGGGAUAGUUGGGUUAGAUGGAACUAACCCACUCUAACUCUCUCUGUUUGGAUACUUUUGGAUUAUUUAAGACUCCAACUAACCCAAACUAGCUCUAACCCCAUGAUUCAAACAGGGCCUAUCCCUAGUCCAUUUUGGACAACCCUAAUUUCUAGGGAUCCUACCCUAACGCCGCCGCCCACUUUCUCCUCAAUUUCAGCGCCAGGCCAAUCACCUCACUCCGUCCAUCUCCCUCGAUUUGCGUCGCCACCCAACCACUGCGAAAGCCGAAGCCUCCAUCUUCCCCGAUCCAAAAGCCUCCACCUCCUCCCUUCGAUUCGUCGUCGUACAGAUCGAGCAGGACGCUCGAUCCCCAGCCACCUCUCUGCCCGAGCCCCUCCUCUGCUCCCAGACGCCUGCACCCCGCUAAUCCCCGCGUCGCCCCGUCGCUCGCCGGAGACCAGGGUCGCCGGAGGCCGCGGCCACCUCUCCGUCCAGCAGGUUCACCGCGUCGGACUCCGCCGACUCGCCGGACUCCACGUGCAGGCCUGCCUCGAUGCCCCUCUCCUUCCCUUUCGUCUCGCCCUCGCCUGUUCACCAUCUCCCUCUCUCCUGCAGGAACCCGGGAGCUCGAAGCCAUGACCGCCGCCGCCUCGGAUCCUUCUCAUCUGUCGCCGGAGCUCCGUCCACUGCUGCAUCGCCCGGAUUCGGUCGCGCGGGACCGGAUCCAUCUAUUCCCGCUUCGUCUCUGGCCCCAGUUGCCUCCCAGCGCCCUCCCUCAUCGCCGGAGUUUGCCGGCGUCGUUAGCUUCAGUUCCCUGCUCCAGAUCGAGCGAACGAGAAGACCGCGCGCGUUGACCCCGCGAUCAAGGCCCGCCUCCAGUGUCAUCGUGGGCCGCGUGAGCAAGGCCUAGCCCAGCCGCUGAUAGAUCCUAACCGCACCACCGAACGGGCCAAGCCCGUGGGUGAGCAGGCCCUCCCUCCAGCCUCCUGUGCAUCUGGACCAGCAGUUUUGGCCCAUGUCAUGUCUUUUUUCCUCUAGACGAUUUUGUCUAUUAUCCAGAGUUUUGCCAGUUUUACAGUAUAGCCCCUAAACAUCAUGCAUUUUAUAACUCUCCAACCGUGCAUCGGAUUAAAACAAACUUAAUAUGAAACUUGCUUAGAAUUUCAUCUACUUUAAUAAUAUGCAAAUUUCAUCUAUGUUUAAAAUGUUUAAAAUAUUGUUUGAUUAAAUUUGCUCCUAUGCCAUGUUAAAAAUGAUUUAAUUCAUAACUAAAUAACCGUAGCUCCGAUUUUAAUAAACUUUAUAUGGAAAUGGGGUGGAAAAAUGUCUAGUUUAUCAUGGUGGAAUCACUUUGCAUCAUGCCAUGUUCAUGUGUUGGCUGUUUACUAUGUUGUGUGCUUCUUUCUGGUGUUGCUUCUUCAGGUUGGUUCCAAUAACGUCGCGUUUGUGAGGACCCAUUCGACUACGUCCAUUUGUCUUCUUCAUGGACUCGUUCUUCUUCCUUGCGGGAUUUCAGGCAAGAUGACCAUAUCCUUGAAAUCACUUCUAUCUUUGCUUGCUAGAUGCUCGCUCUUUUUUUAUGUCUAUGCUGCGAUACCUACCACUUGCUUAUCAUGCCUCUCAUAUUGUUAAGCCAAGCCUCUAACCACCUUGUCCUAGCAAACCGUUGUUUCGCUAUGUUACCGCUUUGCUCAGCCCCUCUUAUAGUGUUGUUAGUUGCAGGUGAAGAUUGGAGUUUGUUCCUUGUUGGAACAUGGAUAUUUUUGUUGGGAUAUCACAAUAUCUCUUAUUUAAUUAAUGCAUCUAUAUACUUGGUAAAGGGUGGAACGCUCGGCCUUUUGCCUGGUGUUUUGUUCCACUCUUGCCACCCUAGUUUCCGUCAUAUCGGUGUUAUGUUCCCAGAUUUUGCGUUCCUUACAUGGUUGGGUUAUAAUGGGAACCCCUUGACAGUUCGCCUUGAAUAAAACUCCUCCAACAAGGCCCAACAUUGGUUUUACCAUUUGCCACCUAGCCUUUUCUUUCCCUUGGGUAGGCCUGCCCAAGGGUUAUCUUUAUUUAAACCCCCGGGCCAGUGCUCCUCUGAGUGUUGGUCCAACCUGUCAGCAGCCGGUGGCCACCAGGGGCAACUCUGGGCUGGCCUACCGGAACCUUGGACAAUCCAGUGUGCCCUGAGAACGAGAUAUGUGCAGCUCCUAUCGGGAUUUGUCGGCACAUUCGGGUGGCUUUGCUGGUCUUGUUUUACCAUUGUCGAGGAUGUCUUGUAACCGGGAUGCCGAGUCUGAUCGGACUGUCUUGGGAGAAGGAAUAUCUUUCGUUGACCGUGAGAGCUUGUGAUGGGCUAAGUUGGGACACCCCUGCAGGGUUUUGAACUUUCGAAAGCCCUGCCCGCGGUUAUGGGCAGAUGGGAAUUUGUUAAUGUUUGGUUGUAGAAAACCUGAAGUUUAUCUUAAUUAAAAUACAUCAACCGCGUGUGUAGCCAUGAUGGUCUCUUCUCGGCGGAGUCUGGGAAGUGAACACGAUGUUGGAGUUAUGUUUGAACGUAAGUAGACUUGGAUCACUUCUUGAUCAUAGUUUCUCGACCGUGCUUUGCCUUCUCUUCUCGCUCUCAUUUGCGUAAGUUUAGCCACCAUAUAUGCUAGUCGCUUGCUGCAGCUCCACCUCAGACCUUUACCUUACCCAUAAGCUUAAAUAGUCUUGAUCGCGAGGGUGUGAGAUUUCUGAGUCCCCAUGACUCACAGAUACUUCCAAAACCAGAUUGCAGGUGCCGAGGAUACCGUGCAGAUGACGCAACCAAGCUCAAGGAGGAUCUCAAUGAAGAUCUUGUCAUUUGUGUUGUUUCAUUCUAGUUGAUCAGUAGUGGAGCCCAGUUGGGGUCGAUCGGGGAUCUGUGUAGCUUUUGGGGUAGUCUUCUUUUAUUUUGGUUCCGUAGUCGGACCUUGAGUGUAUCUGGAUGUAUGUAAUGCUUUAUUCAUGUAAUUGUGUGAAGUGGCGAUUGUAAGCCAACUAUGUAUCUCUUUUCCCUUAUGUAUUACAUGGGUUGUGUGAAGAUUACCUCACUUGCGACAUUGCUUUCAAUGCGGUUAUGCCUCUAAGUCAUGCUUCGACACGUGGGGGAUAUAGCCGCAUCGAGGGCGUUACAAGUUGGUAAUCAGAGCCUUCCCCGACUUUAGGAGCCCCCUGCUUGAUCGAAUCGCUGGCGUUGUUGAGUCUAGAAAAUUGUUUUGAGUCAUUUAGGAUUAUAUAUAUCGGAGAGUAGGACCUCUUUUUACUCCUUAGUCCCUUCGUCGCUCUGGUGAGGCAUCCUGACGUAGAGUUUUGACUAUUCUGUUCUCAAAUUUCACUAAUUUUUUUUAGGAUCACGCGGGUAUCUUGGAAUCGUUCCAAUGAUUUUGUGACAAGAACAUUGUUCUUGGUGCCUCCUGACAUUUAGGGGUUGUGGCAGUGUCCCGGGGAGUUGAGCUCCGAGGUGUUGUCGUCACAAUUUUAUCGUUGCAGUUCUGGAAUACCUGAGUUUCGCCGACAUCGAAAAUCUCUUUUAUGCAGUUGUUGGUGAGAUAACCUCGACGCCACCCAGUACUGGGGCGGGAGUUCGGGAGUAUUGCCAUAACUCGUAUAACGGGUGCUUUUCGAAGGUUGAGGUAAAUGAUUUCCGAAGGUUUCUUGGUUAUGUGUUGAAGGAUGGAUAUAGCUGGACGUAGGAUUUGCUAGUUUUGGGUGAGAUAUUAUGCUUCCCCUGUAUCCCCAACACCUGAUUGCAUAACCGGAAAGUUUCAGGAGUUUAUAAGUGGGAAUUCAAGUAGCUCCUAGGAUAUCUUUCCGACAGAUGUGUGAUAUGAAGUUGGGGUUCGACGUCUAGUGGUCCGCCUAUCCACGGUUGGUUUUACAGUGGUCUCGUUGUGUGUUAAAGAGUCCUUGGCUAUGCUGACUCGGGGACGCUUCGUAUGUCAUGUGCACUGCCUUGUACAUGAUGGUGUUGUACGAUCAAGCCCGUGUAGGCCCCACCACGAAAACUUCGGACGAAAUCUCUAUCAUAUGUUUGUUCCGGCUUAUUUUGCAAGCCAAUCCUUUGUUUUGUUUUUGAGUUGUGAUAUUCGAGUUGCUUCGAAGUCAAGUGUUGAUUCCAUACCUUUCCUAAACGGUGUUCUCAUACUCCGAUGUGAAUACUAAUCCUUCAUGAUAAUCGAGAUUGUCAUGUCAAUCCUUUUCAACCGGCGCGUUUCCCUUCAAGUGGAUCCGAUCAUUUCAUCAUCCGCAAGAUCAACUCAAGCAUUCAUAUCGGUGUUCGUUUCAUUCUCAACUGUGUUUUCCCACCCUCCCACCCUUGUUUUUCUUGAAGGAUUCAGAUUUCUUGAUCAAGUAUCCAUCUUAUUGAUGUGAAGUCUCUCCAUUCUUUUCCUUCAAUGUUCUUAUCCGGUGAUUCUCAUGAAGAUACUAACGGAGCCUCAAGUUCAUCAUUAUUUGUUUUUUUCUUCUCCGGUAGAACCAAUUCAAGCUUUUGGUGUUGAUCAUAUCAUUUCCUCGUUUCAAAUACCUACUCAUGCCGGUGCUCAUCAUAUUCAUUCAUUUCUCGCUAUUCAAUUAUUCCGGAGUGCUGAAGAUAUCUCGAAAGGCUCGUCUUGUCAUUCAAGAUCCGUUCAACCUAUUUCGAGGUUGUUAUCCCAUUCAAGCCAUUUGAAUCAACCGGUGCAAUCUCUUUUCAAAAUUGUUCAAUGGUAUAUCUUUUGAGUGGGCCCUAACCCACAGGUGUUUUCCCAGGAUCUUACCUGACUCUUCUAAUUUUCACCGGAGGUAUUCUCAAAUUCUUUCCAAGUUUGACGUAAGAAUGUUUUGUCAUCAGUCAUAUGUGUCUCUCCAAGAUCUUUCAAUUCUUUUCAUCAUUGGUUCAACCUUUCCAAUUUUAAUUCCGGAGUGCCUCAAUAAUUCUUGGUGGUGUUUCUCGUCGUCAUUCUCAACACUUGAAGACCGAAGAAGAAUUUUCCUCCAUAUCUUACUCCAUUUUCUUCAAGAUUCGUGGGUCUAGCUUCAUGCCAUCCUCUCAUAAUUGUUUUCGAUUGUCAGAAUUAUUUUCACCCAUCCGGAGCAAUUCAGGAGUCAUUCAGUUUGUUUCUCCGGAGCCCAUAAUCUCAGAAUUAUUCAUUUCCAGCUUUCAGCUCUCGUUCUCUAAAUCUUACCGGUGCAUCAUUCAAGUAUCCUCUAAUCAGCUCGUGAUCUCUUUGUUCACUUGCAUCUAAAUUCUCUCAAGUAUCUUCGUUCUUUUUAUAAUUCUUUCGGGUGUUUCUUUAUCUUUUCUUCGUUCAUUUGCUAAUUCUUACCGGUGAUUCACCCCUUUACUUCGUUCGUUUUCAAUUCUUACGGUGGUUCGUUCAAGAGUUCUCUUCCUUGGUUAUCAUAUCAAUUUAUUCGUUCUUACAAAUUCUACCGGUGAUUCGUUGAAUACAUUCUCAAGUUUAUAUUAUAUCUCUCUUAAUCUUUUCUACGAGAAUAAGUAAUAUGUCAAAUCCGUUGAUUGUCAUCAAUUUAAUUGGUGAAGGAUAAGCAUAAUGUAAUUCUUCUUCUUGUUUCAUCGAGUGAACUCAAUUCCCUAUUCCGGAGGCUCAUCAAAUUCCUGAUUUCAAUUGUUUCAUCUUCUCUUUUUCCCGGAGUUCCAACCUUUUUUUCAAUUAUUUCACCACAGAGAUUCAUCUAAAUCGGUACAAGGAUUCACCUUGUGUUUUCAACUUCUCUUUCAUUCUGUUUGAUCAUUCUUUAUUACCAGAGUUCUUCAUGGAGGCUCUACAUGAUGGCUCAUCAAGGAUUUAAUUCCUCUCGAAGUGUUCAUUGAGUUUUUUUAGAGGAGCUCAAGUAUUCUUCAUAUUGCAUUCCGAAGUGAAAUUCGUUCUACCUUAUCUUUUGAGGUGGUGUUAAGUCAUUUUUGACAAUUGCUUGGUGUUUCAUGAUUCACAUGUUGUCAAGAAUGAGAUAUCUUAAAUCCAUCAAUCGCGUCAUUGGAGUUAUGUUGGGUUAUUUUCCACCUAAAGCCUUCCCUAAGGAUUGUUGCUAUUUAUGGUGCUAUAAAUGAUCCAAGUUCUUCAUUUAUCCUCCCGGUGAAAUAAGUUUCUCGUCUCCUUGUUGAUAUCAAUCCAAUCUUUUUCCGUGAGUGGCAUAAUUUCACUUCAUAGUUUUGAGAUGUUUUUACAUAAGACCACAACAACCUUAUUCUUUUGUUGUUUAAUUUUCAACAACUCCAUUCAAUCCUUCUUUCUAAGGACGCUUUCAAAUUCAUUCGACGUAGAAAAUGUUGUUUUCUUCUUUGUUACUUUUAGUCUGUUCUAUCUUUUGUUCCGGAGGCAUUGUGAUGUGGCUCUCUUCAACCCAUCAUCUUGUUUGUCAAGAUCUUGUUCAAUUCCUUUCAUUUAUAGUCAAAGUGCUGUCCAAAUUAUAUCAGUCUUAUUCUUUCUCUAUCUUGGUUUAACUGGAGUGUUAUGUCUAUCAUUCCUCUUCUAACCGGAGUCUCAUCCAAGUGCUUUAUUUUGCCAAGUUCAUAUUAUUGCCUUCCAUUUCCAACCGAAGUGUUGUCGUAUUUCAUCUCUGUCGUUCCUUGUACUUCUCGUUUCAAUCGGAGUGCUUGGAUGCACUUCUUGCCCAUUGCAACCCUUUUCUCAUGUCUUUCAACCUACAGGGUUCUCGUGAUGUUCCUUGUUCCUCUUUUCUAACGGAGGUUUUCAACUUUGUUCAUCUUCGUUGUAUUCUGUCUUUCAAUUUUUUCAACCUCUCAAGGUUCGUUGUUUCACUCAAUUGGCAAAGAAGCAACUUAGUUUUUACCGCUUAUCUUCCUUUUCCAUUGUCCCUCCGAUGCCAUUAUAGAUCUCGGGACGAGAUCCUCUCGUAGUGGUGGAGUGUUGUGACGCCCCGAGACAGAUAUGCCAGGUGUCUUCCAGUUAUUCGCUGUUGUUGUCUUGUCAUUCGCUUGCGUGUUGCAUCUUGUCAUGUCAUCAUGUGCAUUGCAUCAUCACAUUUUCAAAACUUGCAUCCGUCCCGGUCUCCUCGUUCUUUCUGUUGUUCGUUCUGAGCCAGACCACACUUGCACGCGCCCGCGGCUUGUCCGAAAUAGUAUUUUAUAAGUGGCCGGAAAAUGUUCUCGGAUUGGGUCGAAAGUUGGCAUGUGGUCUUAUUAUAAUGUAGAUAGACCGCCUGUCAAGUUUCAUCGCAUUCGGAGUUCGUUUGAUAGCCCAACCAUUAAACUAUAGCGGCAUUAUAGCCGUUCUAACAUCGGACGUUUUUGGUCUCCGAAAAUAGUCGCCGGGCCUCUCUCUCUUCUCUUCUCUUCUCUCAGCUCGAGCCCUUCUGCAUAGCCCACAAGUUCCAACCGACCCCUCGCGUGCGUGUCCGAAACUUCCCCGGACCCGACCCGGACAGUUGUCACCGUUGGGUCCAGAUCAUCCCCAAACAUCUACAAAACAUCUCCGUUUCUUAUUUAGAUUUUCCUAGCCUAUCUAUUCUCGACCGUCGGAUUUUGAUCGGAUGAUCCAACUCCUUUCUUUUCCAUAUAUAUAUAGUCUAUCCCUAGUCCAUUUUGGACAACCCUAAUUUCUAGGGUUCCUACCCUAGCGACGCCGCCCACUUUCUCCUCAAUUUCAGCGCCAGGCCAAUCACCUCACUCCGUCCAUCUCCCUCGAUUUGCGUCGCCGCCCAACCACUGCGAAAGCCGAAGCCUCCAUCUUCCCCGAUCCAAAAGCCUCCACCUCCUCCCUUCGAUUCGUUGUCGUACAGAUCGAGCAGGAGGCUCGAUCCCCAGCCACCUCUCUGCCCGAACCCCUCCUAUGCUCCCAGAUGCCUGCACCCCGCUAAUCCCCGCGCCGCCCCGUCGCUCGCUGGAGACUAGGGUCGCCGGAGGCCGCGACCACCUCUCUGUCUAGCAGGUUCAUCACGUCGGACUCCGCCGACUCGCCAGACUCCACGUGCAGGCCUGGCUCGAUGCCCCUCUCCUUCCCUUUCGUCUCGCUCUCGCCCGUUCACCAUCUCCCUCUCUCCUGCAGGAACCCGGGAGCUCGAAGCCAUGACCACCGUCGCCUCGGAUCCUUCUCAUCUGUCGCCGGAGCUCCGUCCACUGCUGCAUCGCCCGGAUUCGGUCGUGCGGGACCGGAUCCAUGUAUUCCCGCUUCGUCUCUGGCCCUAGUUGCCUCCCAGCGCCCUCCCUCAUCGCCGGAGUUUGCCGGCGUCGUUAGCUUCAGUUCCCUGCUCCAGAUCGAGCGAACGAGAAGACCGCGCGCGUUGACCCUGCGCUCAAGGCCCGCCUCCAGUGUCAUCGUGGGCCGCGUGAGCAAGGCCUAGCCCAGCCGCUGAUAGAUCCUAACCGCACCACCGAACGGGCCAAGCCCGUGGGUGAGCAGGCCCUCCCUCCAGCCUCCUGUGCAUCUGGACCAGCAGUUUUGGCCCAUGUCAUGUUUUUUUCCUCUAGACGAUUUUGUCUAUUAUCCAGAGUUUUGCCAGUUUUACAGUAUAGCCCCUAAACAUCAUGCAUUUUAUAACUCUCCAACCGUGCAUCGGAUUAAAACAAACUUAAUAUGAAACUUGCUUAGAAUUUCAUCUACUUUAAUAAUAUGCAAAUUUCAUCUAUGUUUAAAAUGUUUAAAAAUACUUUUUGAUUAAAUUUGCUCCUAUGCCAUGUUAAAAAUGAUUUAAUUCAUAACUAAAUAACCGUAGCUCCGAUUUUAAUAAACUUUAUAUGUAAAUGGGGUGGAAAAAUGUCUAGUUUAUCAUGGUGAAAUCACUUUGCAUGUUUAGCAACUCUAAAAUAUGGUUUAGGGGAGAGCAGUACCAAAUCUAUAAUAUGCUCAUGAGGAGUUUCCGGCCUCAUUUAAACUUGCCUAAAUAAGUAGUUUUGUUGUGUUUCACCCCCUGCCAUGUUAAGAACAUUUAAUAUUGUUGGGUACAUAACGAGAUCGAACUAAAUAAUGGAACGUGGUGUUUCGUCAAUAUGCAAUGGAGUUGCAUAUUGAGCUCCACUUAAUUUGUAGGGUUGUUUGUGCACUUUGCCAUGCCAUGCCUCAUUAAACCGGACAUGCAUCAUACUUGAUUGUGCAUCAUGCCAUGUUCAUGUGUUGGUCGUUUACUAUGUUGUGUGCUUCUUUCCGGUGUUGCUUCUUCAGGUUGGUUCCGAUAACGUCGCGUUUGUGAGGACCCGUUCGACUACGUCCGUUUGUCUUCUUCAUGGACUCGUUCUUCUUCCUUGCGGGAUUUCAGGCAAGAUGACCAUAUCCUCGAAAUCACUUCUAUCUUUGCUUGCUAGAUGCUCGCUCUUUUUCUAUGUCUAUGCUGCGAUACCUACCACUUGCUUAUCAUGCCUCUCAUAUUGUUAAGCCAAGCCUCUAACCACCUUGUCCUAGCAAACCAUUGUUUGGCUAUGUUACCGCUUUGCUCAGCCCCUCUUAUAGCGUUGUUAGUUGCAGGUGAAGAUUGGAGUUUGUUCCUUGUUGGAACAUGGAUAUUUUUGUUGGGAUAUCACAAUAUCUCUUAUUUAAUUAAUGCAUCUAUAUACUUGGUAAAUGGUGGAAGGCUCGGCCUUUUGCCUGGUGUUUUGUUCCACUCUUGCCGCCCUAGUUUCCGUCAUAUCGGUGUUAUGUUCCUGGAUUUUGCGUUCCUUACACGGUUGAGUUAUAAUGGGAACCCCUUGACAGUUCGUCUUGAAUAAAACUCCUCCAACAAGGUCCAACAUUGGUUUUACCAUUUGCCACCUAGCCUUUUCUUUCCCUUGGGUAGGCCUGCCCAAGGAUCAUCUUUAUUUAAACCCCCGGGCCAGUGCUCCUCUGAGUGUUGGUCCAACCUGUCAGCUGCCGGUGGCCACCAGGGGCAACUCUGGGCUGGCCUACCGGAACCUUGGACAAUCCGGUGCGCCCUGAGAACGAGAUAUGUGCAGCUCCUAUCGGGAUUUGUCGGCACAUUCGGGUGGCUUUGCUGGUCUUGUUUUACCAUUGUCGAGGAUGUCUUGUAACCGGGUUGUCGAGUCUGAUCGAAUUGUCUUGGGAGAAGGAAUAUCCUUCGUUGACCGUGAGAGCUUGUGAUGGGCUAAGUUGGGACACCCCUGCAGGGUUUUGAACUUUCGAAAGCCCUGCCCGCGGUUAUGGGCAGAUGAGAAUUUGUUAAUGUCCGGUUGUAGAAAACCUAAAGUUUAGCUUAAUUAAAAUACAUCAACCGCGUGUGUAGCCGUGAUGGUCUCUUCUCGGCGGAGUCUGGGAAGUGAACACGAUGUUGGAGUUAUGUUUGAAUGUAAGUAGACUUGGAUCACUUCUUGAUCAUAGUUUCUCGACCGCGCUUUGCCUUCUCUUCUCGCUCUCAUUUGCGUAAGUUUAACCACCAUAUAUGCUAGUCGCUUGCUGCAGCUCCACCUCAGACCUUUACCUUACCCAUAAGCUUAAAUAGUCUUAAUCGCGAGGGUGUGAGAUUGCUGAGUCCCCGUGACUCACAGAUACUUCCAAAACCAGAUUGCAGGUGCCGAGGAUACCGUGCAGAUGACGCAACCAAGCUUAAGGAGGAGCUCGAUGAAGAUCUUGUCCUUUGUGUUGUUUCGUUCUACUUGAUCAGUAGUGGAGCCCAGUUGGAGUCGAUCAGGGAUCUGUGUAGCUUUUGGGGUAGUCUUCUUUUAUUUUGGUUCCGAGUCAGACCUUGAGGGUGUGUUUGCUUGUUCUCACGAAGUGGAAUGGCAUGGGUCGGUUCCAUCCCCGGGGCCCGUUCCCGUGUUUAGAUUGCCGAAGGAAUCACAACCCACCGAUUCCAGGGAAGGACAUAUUCCCUGUUUAUGCCGAACCUGGACGUUCCUGCAAAUCGGCCGGACCACGCGGAAUGCCUCACUCGCGUCUCCCUCCCCUUCUCCCCGACUCACCAACCCGGCGCCCCAACCACCCCGACCUGUGCCCUCCUCUCUCCCUCGAUGGCCAUGGCGGCGGCCGGAAGUGCAGCCUCGUCGGCAUCUCCCGCCCGUCGCACCCCCCACCCACCACCUCGACCUAGGAUCUAGCGAAAGAGGGAGGCGAGCACUCUGCUCCAUGGCGCAAUCCUCGAGAUCCAUCGGCGGAAGGAGGCCGGGAGGCCACGCUGCCGCCGCGCUCGCGGGGCACACUGGGAAAUGUCGCGCUGCCGCUCUUGACGGACCAGAGGCUCCAAGCGCUGGCCUUGAUGGAGUAGGCGAUCCAAGCUGCGUGCGCCGUGGUGAUAGGAAGGGCGCCGCUGUUGAUCUUGUGGAUUGGAGGAGCAAGGCUGCGGUCAAGACCGGACUAGCAGGCUGCAUUUUUUGCUUGUAGCAAUCAGACAGAUGCAGACUUUGGUAUUUGGGUAGUUACUGUCUUGUGUUUAACUCUGAUUCUUUUCUUCUCUGUUUCUCUGCGAUUUGUUUUUGACAGAGCAUGUUCAAGCCUACGGUAUAUGAAUCGUUGAUGCUCGCACCGCUGUUCUGAAAUACUAGUAGUAUAGUUCAAUUUUUAUCUGCCUUUGACUGAAACCAAUUCGAUUCAUAGUGCGAUGAAUAAACCCAUCUCAUUCCAUCUCACAAACCAAACGCCAAAACGUAACCAUUCCAUUCCUCCGAAUUGCCACUACCGAACACAAGAAUGGAACCGACCCAUUCUAGUGGAAUGGAACUAUGACAUUCCAUUCCACUUCAUUCUCGAACCAAACACACCCUGAGUGUAUCUGGAUGUAUGUAAUGCUUUAUUCAUGUAAUUGUGUGAAGUGAUGAUUGUAAGCCAAUAUGUAUCUCUUUUCCCUUAUGUAUUACAUGGGUUGUGUGAAGAUUACCUCACUUGCGACAUUGCUUUCAAUGCGGUUAUGCCUCUAAGUCGUGCUUCGACACGUGGGGGAUAUAGCCGCAUCGAUGGCGUUAUAGCGUGGGACUCCGUCGCUCGCGCCUUGAGCAUCCUUGUGUGAUGGCCGCCGCCCUCGCAUCAGACGAAAAUCCUCUUUGAGCCGGCAUCGAGUGCAGCACACGACCACCGCCGCUAUGCCUGCAAAUAUGCCGACACACUUGAAUAUCCACUCUUGUGCCACCCUGAUCUCCUUAUUGCGGUUAUCGAGGGCCGCCAUCCCCACCACAAUGACCAACGGAGGCCACCGCCCCCGCCGCCAUGGCUACCCAUCAAGGUUGUCAGAAAUCGUGAUUCUGUUAUACGAUUCUAUGACUUUACGAUCCAAACUAACCCCUAUGAUUCUACAAUUUUAGGUCUUAGAAUCUACGUUUCUACGAUCCUGAUAGUGAAGAUUCUACGAUUUGCAAUCCUACCAUCGAAGCUCCGAUCGAUUCAAAAUCGCGAUUCUGACAACCUUGCUAGCCAUGCAUCCGUUGCCGACGAUGUUGUGCGUGUCGUCGUCUCUGCGAACGCUGGCAACACCAUCUUCACCUCUCUCGCUCAUCGAUCCUCAUGUACAAAAUGCAACCGUCAUCAUGUACAUCCGUGUAUGUACGUAUAGUAAUCUUCUGUUAGAGAUAUGACAAACAAUAGAAACGAAGAAGAUCAAAUAAACACAGAGAACACAUGAUUUUAACGUGGGAAAACCCCUCCAAUGAGAAGGGUAAAAAACCACGGGCACCAAUCAGUGAAACUUAGGGAGAUGUUACAAACGCCGGGGAUUUUCAACAAUGAUUAUUUCGUGCGACGGCUUACAAGAGGUACGUAAUGUGAUGACCUAGGUCGNNNNNNNNNNNNNNNNNNNNNNNNNNNNNNNNNNNNNNNNNNNNNNNNNNNNNNNNNNNNNNNNNNNNNNNNNNNNNNNNNNNNNNNNNNNNNNNNNNNNNNNNNNNNNNNNNNNNNNNNNNNNNNNNNNNNNNNNNNNNNNNNNNNNNNNNNNNNNNNNNNNNNNNNNNNNNNNNNNNNNNNNNNNNNNNNNNNNNNNNNNNNNNNNNNNNNNNNNNNNNNNNNNNNNNNNNNNNNNNNNNNNNNNNNNNNNNNNNNNNNNNNNNNNNNNNNNNNNNNNNNNNNNNNNNNNNNNNNNNNNNNNNNNNNNNNNNNNNNNNNNNNNNNNNNNNNNNNNNNNNACGUCCCCCACCCCAAGCGUCCCUGGUAGGUGAUCAGACUCCGCUUUGUUACCGUCCAAGCCUUCUGGUGACAGGGCCCGCACUGCUCUGUUAGAAUUAGCCUUUAUAUGAAUUUGGAUCACAACUCAACAGCCUCAACAGCCGUGAUUGGGAUCCAGACGAGAAGGACUCUGGCCGCCACGCCAUCCAACCUUAAUGGCAAUGAACGGGAGCAUCUUCACGACGGGCCUCCGCUCUGCUCCGUGAGAAUUUAGCCUUCAUAUGAAUUCUGAUUAUAACUCAACAUCUUCAACGAGAGACAGACGUAACAGAUUAACGGACGCAGAAGCACGUUUAGCGACGGUGAUCUCUGAACCAGGAUGUCUGGCAUGGCGACGAAAGUUGCGAAGAGAGAGCCCACCGGACACUUUUGCGCACGACAACGCACACUGACAGCGACCAAGAAAAUCGUCGGAAUAUCCCCCUCCCCUAAACAAAUAUCGACAGGGGUACUGUACUGGGGUUUUGUCGCGUCGAUCUUACGGGCCCACCUGUCCAGGCCAGAUUUUGGCGACCGACCAGGGAGAAAACCCAGCCGCUCCGAGUCGGAGGGAGUGGCCUUCACGGUAGGUGAGACGUUACCGUGGCCUUCGCUGGUUCAAUUACUCAGCCGCGCGGGCGUGUCAAGCUGCAGCUAUCAAAUUAUUGACUAACUUGCGCCAUAUGGACCAUCUGAGCUCCAAUUCUCCAGUGCAUGCGUGAACUACCACCACCCUAGCAGGAAGGAGUAGCUUGCAGUUGCAGCCCGGCUCUGGCUCUGGCUCUGGCUCUACCGAGGAAUGUCUGAUCUGAGCUACAUGUACAUAAUUAACAAUCAAUUUCAUGCGGAGGAUUUUUACGUUAAUUAAGACGGCACGCUGGCCCCAUGAGACAUGUCGACGUCGAAUUGUCGACCCUCUUUAGUUGGCUUUUACGCCUCGAGGCCAUAUGUAUGCAUGUAACGUAAUUAAAAACAAACCACGAGCCACACAGGAUGUAAAGCGUGGCCAUCCAUUUAAUUAAGAAGGCGCUGCCGGCCUGCCACGUAACCGGCCACGUCGCUGUUGUGUGCAGGACCUCCACAACUACAUGCCCGCUGGGCCAGCUGAACAAAAGGAUCGACGAUACUGCAACUGUACGCGCAACUACCGGACGCAACGCAAUGCAAUGCAACACCGUACGUACUACGUAGACGGCGACCCAAUGGACUGGAUCCUAGCUACCGGCGCUGAUCCAUCUAGCUAAGGUAGUACACGCAACUACUGUACUACUCCCUCCGUCCGGAAAUACUUGUCAUCAAAAUGAAUAAAAGAGGAUGUAUCUAGAUGUAUUUUAGUUCCAGAUACACCCCUUUUUGUUCAUUUUGAUGACAAGUUUUUUCGGACGGAGGGUACAUGAUGCAUGUAGUACUGUGCAUGCAUGUAGACAUCGAUCAAGGAGCUUUCGGGCUCUUCGGUUCCACUAAAGGCCCUUCACGUUGGCAUCACUAGGCAUGCAUUGCCGUUGCUCCGUUCGUUCGUUCGUUGAUCAAGAAACGUACUUCUCCGUAGUAGCGGCGUAGCUUUCCACGCUUGAUUGAAACGGACUGGCACUGGCAGCAUGGCUCGGCCAUGGACGCGCCACCCACCGCGCUAUACCUGGCAGCAGGAGCUCGUUUGUCGCUGGCCAUGGCUGUCGAACUGUAACCGCACAUGUUAAGCUAGCUAUAGCUACUGGUACUGGCACGCGAAUAUUCCGAUCGAAGCGCUUUCCGCUCCUUCCGAUCUGCCAGUAUCCAUUACUCUACUCGCGGCGGUCUUAGUUUACUCGCGCGGAUCACAUGAGGAGGUAUCUUCUUCAGUGCAGAUGCUGAUCAGGGCUCGAUCGGCGUGCAUGUGGCCACCGCGCCAGCUCGCAUGCAUCAGCGGAAGCUUUUGCGCUUGCUUAUGCCCUAAUGAUGCCGUCUUUUGCUUUUGUCUGGUGGGGCUAAACAACGCCGAGAUGAGACGAUGGGGGGCGAUAUUUUAUGGGCGCGCGCCCCACGCAGUCCCUAGUAUUUUUUCUCCCGGUCUUCUGUACUGUAGCUCGCCGAUCGAGCCGUGACCUACAUACAUGUAGGUCUACGCGACGAGCAUUCGAGAAGCGCUUAAUCAAUUGACAGGUACGGCACACGUACGCUCGCAUGAUCGUAUCUGGAAAUACUGCGCCGAUCUGGUCAGCGCGCGGAUCCUCCUGCACUGUUUUCUGUUGAUGCAUCUCGUCACCUUCCUUUGGUUGCAUCGUUUAUUUUAGGGUUUUAGUCUUCCCAUGCAUGCUAUUCUCACUGGACUAAACCAAUUCUUUUCCAUCAUUUCUAGAGACUACUACUUCUGAAUUGUUUUUCACAGCCAUAUUGAAUGGAGCCACUGCAGAGUGAUAGAUAUAUUUAACGGAACUCCUUGCUUCCAUCGCAUUAUUGCAACCCCACCUGUCUGUUG
This 20844-nucleotide long non-coding RNA is filed under the name Triticum aestivum (bread wheat). Its description in RNAcentral is "long non-coding RNA (TAES_LNC010552)". The stretch from base 19653 to 19785 matches the Rfam family "MIR1120/MIR1122 microRNA precursor family". The record is from RNAcentral. Lineage: Eukaryota; Viridiplantae; Streptophyta; Magnoliopsida; Poales; Poaceae.